CCAUUUCACUAUAACCCUAAAAAUAGAAAAGGGUGAGGGGAGUGGGAGAGGCUCUACUAGGGUUUUGCGCUCAGCCUCCCUCCACAGACAUCGAUGGCGCGGUCGCAGCUAAGGUGGUUGGCGGUCAUGCGAAGGGAAGGAGAAGACGGCUAAAGAGAGGAACAGAGGACGGCAGAAGGUUAUGGCCGCCACCGGAAGUCGUUUCCGACGGUGGUGCGUGGUGGUGUUAUGACGGUUCGUCUGUGUGGUGACUCCUCGUAAAGGUGCAACAAGUGUGAGAGGAAGAAGAUAAAGGAAUGCAAUCGCCGCCACCGAAAAUUGUCUCCAGCGGCGGUGCACGACGGUGUUCACAGGAACCACCGUCUAGUCGCGUUUCCAAUUGGUCCAAGCUCAUGCUUUUGGAAGCAUAUAUGGAAGAAACAUGCUCUUGGGGACAUGUUGGUGGCUAGGGGAGAGGAGCUCAGCAAGCUUGUUGGAGGAGAAAUAACCGUACAGAAAAGUGUAGGAUGACACAGAUUUUGAGUGCAGAGGAAAAGAUUAUUUUGUUAUUUUCUUGUCUUUUUCUGUUUUUCUUUUAUUAUUUAUUUAUUUAUUAUUUAUGCUUAUUCUGUGUAGUUUUUGAGUUUAAAUCUAGUUUGUAAAUUAUUUGUUCUUGAAUCAUUAAUUUGAAAAUUUUGGGAAAUAAAUUAGUAGAAAAAUUAGUGGCAUAAAAA
Molecule: long non-coding RNA, 713 nt
Organism: Cajanus cajan (pigeon pea)
Lineage: Eukaryota; Viridiplantae; Streptophyta; Magnoliopsida; Fabales; Fabaceae
Source: RefSeq, a predicted model, not a curated record